RNAcentral lists this ribosomal RNA (254 nucleotides) under uncultured bacterium. RNAcentral's name for it is "partial 16S ribosomal RNA". It matches the Rfam family "Bacterial small subunit ribosomal RNA", at positions 524 to 776 of the family's 1533-position model. The record is from RNAcentral.
UACGUAGGGUGCAAGCGUUAUCCGGAAUUAUUGGGCGUAAAGAGCUCGUAGGCGGUUUGUCGCGUCUGCUGUGAAAACUGGAGGCUCAACCUCCAGCCUGCAGUGGGUACGGGCAAACUAGAGUGCGGUAGGGGAGAUUGGAAUUCCUGGUGUAGCGGUGAAAUGCGCAGAGAUCAGGAAGAACACCCGUGGCGAAGGCGGCCCACUGGGCCGGUACUGACGCUGAGAAGCGAAAGCAUGGGGGAGCGAACAGG